Molecule: long non-coding RNA, 730 nt
Filed under: Ananas comosus (pineapple)
Lineage: Eukaryota; Viridiplantae; Streptophyta; Magnoliopsida; Poales; Bromeliaceae
Description: long non-coding RNA (ACOM_LNC021581)
Source: RNAcentral
AUAUAUAUAUAUAUAGUGUAGAACUACUAUGCUAUCGAAAAUAUAGAGGAUUUGAUGUUUUUGAAUUUUUGACCUUUUGAUUAAAAAUUGUAUGGUUGGGAUGAUUGUGGUCUUCCCUAAGAUUAAAUAAUACUCUUAGGAUUGAGUGGUCCCUACAAGGUAAUAAUAAUAUUAAUCCAAAGAUAAGAAACGAUUAAAGGGAUGGAUUUAAGAAUCAAAAAAUCGAAAGCACCAGAUCUCUAUACUUUCGAUAGCAUAGUAGCUGUACUAUAUAUAUAUAUAUUCGAGCUUUUCGAGCUUUUCAAGCCUAAUUCAAACGAGCCGAGUAAUACUCAAGCUCGGCUUGAAAUGAAUUUCGAGCCUUUUUUUUUUGUUCAAGCUCGGCUCAUUUAAUUUCGAGUCAAGCUCGGGCGAGCCAAUAUCGAGUCAAACAUGAGUCGAACGCGAGCCGGCUCGCUCUUUUGCCAGCCCUAAGUAUAGUCAAAUGUCAAGAGAGAAGUAAUAUAUUCAGUCUUUAAUCUAUUUUUUCUGAAUAAAAUAAAUCACAUUAUAGGUGAAAUUACUAUUCAACAAACUAAAGAAAAGAAAGGCCUUUUAAAAGCAAAAAUUCAAACUAGAUCCUACCUUCCAAUUAUAUAAAAAAAUUUUCACACCGAAUAAGUUAUCUUUCGAUAAUUUAUUCCGACAUUAAAACAAGGCCUAAAAUAUUUUUCUAAAGCAAGGUAAAUCA